GUAGCCGAUGCACAGACGGUAGAGAUUCCGUCACCACCAAAAGAGUUAAACACAGGGACACAUUUGAAGUCUCGGAGCCGGGUGUUGGUUCCGGUAGCGAUCGAGGGAAGUUAGUACCGAAGUCCGGGAUGGAAGAUGGCGAGAAAAGCUGUGUGUAUUUCUGCGGUGCCCGUACCGCAAACCGACACAGGUAGGUAGGAAGAAGAUUCUAAGGCCAACGGGAGAAGGGUUGUUAAGGAACUCGGCAAAUUGACCCCGUAACUUCGGGAGAAAGGGUGCUCCAGAGAUGGAGCCGCAGAGAAUCGGCCCAAGCAACUGUUUACCAAAAACACAGGUUUGUGCUAAAUCGAAAGAUGACGUAUACGAGCUGACGCCUGCCCGGUGCUGGAAGGUUAAGAGGAGAUGUGCAAGCAUUGAAUCGAAGCCCCAGUGAACGGCGGCCGUAACGAUAACGGUCCUAAGGUAGCGAAAUUCCUUGUCAGGUAAGUUCUGACCCGCAUGAAAGGCGUAAUGAUUUGGGCACUGUCUCGACAGCCCGCCCGGCGAAAUUGUAGUACCGGUGAAGAUGCCGGUUACCCGCGACAAGACGGAAAGACCCCAUGGAGCUUUACUGUAGCCUAAUAUUGGGUUUCGAUGUUGCAUGCACAGGAUAGAUGGGACACUGGGAAGUGAUCGCUUUGGCGGUCAUGGAGUGGCCGUUGGGAUACCAUCCUUGCGAUAUUGGAAUUCUAACCUGCGCCUUUGAAUCAAGGCGGGGGACAUUGUUAGGUGGGCAGUUUGACUGGGGCGGUCGCCUCCUAAAGAGUAACGGAGGCGUUCAAAGGUUCGCUCAGCUUGAACGGAAAUCAAGCAAGAGAGUGCAAACGCAGAAGCGAGCCUAACUGCGAGACUGACGGGUCGAGCAGUAACGAAAGUUGGAGUUAGUGAUCCGGUGGUAUGUGAGUGGAAAUGCCAUCGCUCAACGGAUAAAAGUUACCCUGGGGAUAACAGGCUGAUCUCCCCCAAGAGUCCACAUCGACGGGGAGGUUUGGCACCUCGAUGUCGGCUCAUCGCAUCCUGGGGCUGUAUUCGGUCCCAAGGGUUUGGCUGUUCGCCAAUUAAAGCGGUACGCGAGCUGGGUUCAGAACGUCGUGAGACAGUUCGGUCCCUAUCUGUCGUGGGCGCAGGAUAUUUGAUGGGAGCUGUUCCUAGUACGAGAGGACCGGAGCGGACGUACCUCUGGCGCACCAGUUGUUCUGCCAAGAGCAUAGCUGGGCAACUAUGUACGGAUCGGAUAAACGCUGAAAGCAUCUAAGCGUGAAGCCGACCCAAAGAUAAGAUAUCCCACUGAUUCGAUCAGGUAAGAUCCCUUGAAGACUACAAGGUUGAUAGGCACAAUGUGUAAGUGGAGUGAUCCAUUCAGCAAGCGUGUACUAAUAGAUCGAGGGCUUGAUC
Molecule: ribosomal RNA, 1434 nt
Filed under: metagenome
Description: bacterial LSU rRNA
Rfam family: Bacterial large subunit ribosomal RNA
Source: RNAcentral